UGGGGAAUUUUGGACAAUGGGCGAAAGCCUGAUCCAGCCAUGCCGCGUGAGUGAAGAAGGCCUUCGGGUUGUAAAGCUCUUUCAGGUGGAAAGAAAACGCAUAGGUUAAUACCUUGUGCGGAUGACGGUACCAUCAGAAGAAGCACCGGCUAACUACGUGCCAGCAGCCGCGGUAAUACGUAGGGUGCAAGCGUUAAUCGGAAUUACUGGGCGUAAAGCGUGCGUAGGUGGUGGUUUAAGUCUGCUGUGAAAGCCCUGGGCUCAACCUGGGAAUUGCAGUGGAUACUGGAUCACUAGAGUGUGGUAGAGGGAUGCGGAAUUUCUGGUGUAGCAGUGAAAUGCGUAGAUAUGCGGAGGAACACCGAUGGCGAAGGCAAUCCCCUGGGCCUGUACUGACGCUCAUGCACGAAAGCGUGGGGAGCAAACA
RNAcentral lists this ribosomal RNA (427 nucleotides) under uncultured bacterium. Its description in RNAcentral is "bacterial SSU rRNA". It matches the Rfam family "Bacterial small subunit ribosomal RNA", at positions 355 to 774 of the family's 1533-position model. The record is from RNAcentral.